CUUGAGACCGGCGCACGGGUGCGUAACGCGUAUGCAAUCUACCUUGUACAGAGGGAUAGCCCAGAGAAAUUUGGAUUAAUACCUCAUAGUAUUAUUGGAUGGCAUCAUUUAAUAAUUAAAGUUCCAACGGUACAAGAUGAGCAUGCGUCCUAUUAGCUAGUUGGUGUGGUAACGGCAUACCAAGGCUACGAUAGGUAGGGGUCCUGAGAGGGAGAUCCCCCACACUGGUACUGAGACACGGACCAGACUCCUACGGGAGGCAGCAGUGAGGAAUAUUGGACAAUGGGCGCAAGCCUGAUCCAGCCAUGCCGCGUGCAGGAAGACGCAUCUAUGGUGUGUAAACUGCUUUUGUACGGGAAGAAACACUCCCUCGUGAGGGAGCUUGACGGUACCGUAAGAAUAAGGAUCGGCUAACUCCGUGCCAGCAGCCGCGGUAAUACGGAGGAUCCAAGCGUUAUCCGGAAUCAUUGGGUUUAAAGGGUCCGUAGGCGGUUUAAUAAGUCAGUGGUGAAAGCCCAUCGCUCAACGAUGGAACGGCCAUUGAUACUGUUAGACUUGAAUUACAAGGAAGUAACUAGAAUAUGUAGUGUAGCGGUGCAAUGCUUAGAUAUUACAUGGAAUACCAAUUGCGAAGGCAGGUUACUACUUGUGGAUUGACGCUGAUGGACGAAGCGUGGGGAGCG
Molecule: ribosomal RNA, 683 nt
Filed under: uncultured Flavobacteriales bacterium
Lineage: Bacteria; Pseudomonadati; Bacteroidota; Flavobacteriia; Flavobacteriales
Description: bacterial SSU rRNA
Rfam family: Bacterial small subunit ribosomal RNA
Source: RNAcentral